This 2870-nucleotide ribosomal RNA is filed under the name Pinus taeda (loblolly pine). RNAcentral's name for it is "eukaryotic LSU rRNA". The stretch from base 1771 to 2870 matches the Rfam family "Eukaryotic large subunit ribosomal RNA", at positions 1890 to 3209 of the family's 3401-position model. The record is from RNAcentral. Lineage: Eukaryota; Viridiplantae; Streptophyta; Pinopsida; Pinales; Pinaceae.
AAAUAUUAAUUUUAAAGUAUAAAUAAUUUAAAAAUAAAUUAUAUAUGUAAGAUAUUAUUAUCAACUAUAGAUGCUAAAUUUUUUCUUUAUAUUAAUUAUAGUUGCCUCCCUGAACCUCUCUAUGCCUUCUCUGCCUUGUACUCUCUGGAUUUGGUAAACUCUCCUCCAGACUACUAUCCCUGCCCCUCAUUGCAACAAGAUCACUCGAUCUCACUCCAGAAACUCAGCACUGCUACUCCAUGGGUUGUCGACAGUUUGCCCCAGCUACUCUUGUGGCGAGGGCAGGUAGUCACGUGCCGAUUGGGCUAUGGGUGUAGAAUGCCUCCUACCGGGGGCUUUUCCCUAGGUGUCAAACAGUCGACUUAGAACUGGUAGGAACAAGGGGAAUCUAACUGUUUAAUUAAAACAAAGCAUUGCGAUGGUCCCUGCGGACGCUGACACAAUGUGAUUUCUGCCCAGUGCUAUAACAACCCUUGUGAAAAUUCCAUGUAAAAAUAUACAAAUACCAUGGAUGAUGGGACACGUAUUCCAAGAUGAAUGGUGGGAAAGACAUCUUGGGGGUGUUCAUUUGGUUGUUUAUGGCUAAGGAAAUUGGCAAAGGCAAUGCCUAAGGCAUUAAAGAGGCAAAAAAUUAUUUUGGCACAUUUAUUUAUGAAAAUAAUGGAAAAUAGGAGAAAAAGGAGGUGAAAGGUCACAGGUUGCAUGUGAGGAGGAAAAUGAAGGAAAAUAAUGGAAAAUGAAGAAAAUAGAGGCCUCAUUAAUAAAAAGGCUUCUGAGGAUUAGUGGGCAAGCUUCUACCUUUCAGUGUGAUGACUUGGUCAGUUUAGGUUUGGAGAUCUCUCAUUAUUCUCUCUCUCUCUCUCAUACUCUUGGACACUUAGAUUUUUCUUGGAGCACUUUGGCAUUGGAGCAAGAAAGUCAAAGAACAGAAGAGGAAGAAAAGAUCAAGCAGGGAAAGCCAUGAUAAAGCAGCUACAACAGGCUUCAUUGUAGGUAUCAACUUGCAUGUGUAUUUUCCUUGCUAGAUUUGGCCUGCAUGGGAUUGCAUGUGUUUCUUUUCUACCAUGGCAUGGGUUUUGCUAGGUGUGACAGUAUUUUCAGUCCAACCUUGCCGUUUCCUGAUAGCUUUGAUGAGAUGGGUUCUCUCAUGUGUUUUGUGGGGGAUGGCCGGAUUGGAUUCAAAGCUAAGUGGGGUGGAUCUCCGAAUUGACAAACACAUGGUGGUAGUGGUCCUUGAACCAGACUGAGGAUGCAUGAAGCCAUUGUCCUAGUAACCCCUGAAUCAGACUAUGGGUUGCGGUAAAGCCAGAUUGUGUGCCUCGGUAGGCCUAGGAAUCCUUGUCGAUGAAUGGCGAGAUAUACGGUAAAGCCAAGAGGUGGAUUUUCUCUCUGUUGGGCCUAGUGAUUCCAGGAUGGAAUGCACGGUAAAGCCUGGAGAGUAUGUCUUGGUGUAGAGCCUAGUGAUCCCUGGAUUAGACUGCGGAUGCACGGUAAAGCCUGAGAGACUAGGAGGCACUCAAAUUCUUCACAGUGUAGGCAGAGAACUCCAGUGGCAUCCACAUUGAUUGGUGUUUUUGAUGUGUUCUAUGAGUCCCACAUUCAUGCUUGGAAUAUGGCACGGGGGUGAUUGGCUAAAGAGAGACUUGGCUCAGCCAAUCUAUUGUCGGGUGGAACGUGGUUUUUCCAUCACCGAUUGGUUCAUUGCAUUUAUUAAUGAAAAAUUCAUUCCCUUGAUUUUCAUUUGCAAAUGUAUAUAUCUAUAUUAUAUAUAUAGAUAUAUAUAUAUGGAUUUUGAUGGUUGAUAUGUUUAUUGUAUUUUUGUUCCUAUUAUGUUGUUUAUAUGCACAUUUACCCAGAGGAUGUUACAAGUGCUCUGAAUGUCAAAGUGAAGAAAUUCAACGAAGCACGGGUAAAUGACAGGAGUAACUAUGACUCUCUUAAGGUAUCCAAAUGCCUCGUCAUCUAAUUAGUGAGGCGCAUGAAUGGAUUAACGAGAUUCCCACUGUCCCUAUCUACUAUCUAGCAAAACCACAGCCAAGGGAACGAGCUUGGCAGAAUCAAAGGGGAAAGAAGACCCUUUUGAGCUCGACUCUAGUCCGACUUUGUGAAAUGACUUGAGGGGUGUAGAAUAAGUGGGAGCUGUUUUUGGCGCAAGUGAAAUACCACUACUUUUAAUGUUAUUUUACUUAUUCCGUGGGGCGGAGACAGGGAACUGCCCCUGCUUUUGGCCUUAAGGCACGUUUUGGCGGGUCGAUUCGGGUGGAAGACAUUGUCAGGUGGGGAGUUUGGCUGGGGCGACACAUCUGUUAAAAGAUAGCACGUGUCCUAAGAUGAGCUCAAAGAGAACAAAAAUCUCGUGUGGAACAAAAGGGUAAAAGCUCAUUUGAUUUUGAUUUUCAGUACGAAUACAAACCGUGAAAGCAUGGCCUAUCGAUCCUUUAGAUUUUCGGAAUUUGAAGCUAGAGGUGUCAGAAAAGUUACCACAAGGAUAACUGGCUUGUGGUAGCCAAGCGUUCAUAGCGACGUUGCUUUUCGAUCUUUCGAUGUCAACUCUUCCUAUCAUUGUGAAGCAUUAUUCACCAGGUGUUGGAUUGUUCACCCACCAAUAGGGAACGUGAGCUGGGUUUAGACCGUCAUGAGACAGGUUAGUUUUACCGUACUGAUGAACUGCACCGCAAUAGUAAUUCAACUUAGUAUGAGAGGAAUCGUUGAUUCACACAAUUGGUCAUCGUGCUUGGUUGAAAAGCCAGUGGCGCGAAGCUACCGUGUGUCGGAUUAUGACUAAAUGCCUCUAAGUCAGAAUCCACGCUAGAAGCGGUGCAUGUCACUCUUCGACUGUAUCUUGACCCGCAGUAGGGGUGUCACUUUGU